RNAcentral lists this ribosomal RNA (304 nucleotides) under uncultured bacterium. RNAcentral describes it as "partial 16S ribosomal RNA". It matches the Rfam family "Bacterial small subunit ribosomal RNA", at positions 506 to 809 of the family's 1533-position model. The record is from RNAcentral.
CAGCAGCCGCCGCGGUAACACGAAGGGGGCUAGCGUUGCUCGGAAUCACUGGGCGUAAAGGGUGCGUAGGCGGGUCUUUAAGUCAGGGGUGAAAUCCUGGAGCUCAACUCCAGAACUGCCUUUGAAACUGAAGAUCUUGAGUUCGGGAGAGGUGAGUGGAACUGCGAGUGUAGAGGUGAAAUUCGUAGAUAUUCGCAAGAACACCAGUGGCGAAGGCGGCUUACUGGCUCGAAACUGACGCUGAGGCGCGAAAGCGUGGGGAGCAAACAGGAUUAGAUACCCGAGUAGUCCCUGUCUCUUAUAA